This 441-nucleotide ribosomal RNA is filed under the name uncultured bacterium. Its description in RNAcentral is "partial 16S ribosomal RNA". It matches the Rfam family "Bacterial small subunit ribosomal RNA", at positions 338 to 795 of the family's 1533-position model. The record is from RNAcentral.
CCUACGGGCGGCAGCAGUGGGGAAUAUUGGGCAAUGGGCGCAAGCCUGACCCAGCAACGCCGCGUGAAGGAAGAAGGCUUUCGGGUUGUAAACUUCUUUUGUCAGGGAAGAGUAGAAGACGGUACCUGACGAAUAAGCCACGGCUAACUACGUGCCAGCAGCCGCGGUAAUACGGAGGAUGCGAGCGUUAUCCGGAUUUAUUGGGUUUAAAGGGUGCGUAGGCGGGACCUUAAGUCAGCGGUAAAAUUGCGGUGCUCAACGCCGUAGAGCCGUUGAAACUGGGGCUCUUGAGUGAGCGAGAAGUGUGCGGAAUGCGUGGUGUAGCGGUGAAAUGCAUAGAUAUCACGCAGAACCCCGAUUGCGAAGGCAGCAUACCGGCGCUCAACUGACGCUGAGGCACGAAAGUGCGGGUAUCGAACAGGAUUAGAUACCCGUGUAGUC